Molecule: ribosomal RNA, 254 nt
Filed under: uncultured bacterium
Lineage: Bacteria
Description: partial 16S ribosomal RNA
Rfam family: Bacterial small subunit ribosomal RNA
Source: RNAcentral
UACGGGGGGAGCAAGCGUUGUUCGGAUUUACUGGGCGUAAAGGGCGCGUAGGCGGCCACCGCAAGUCAGAUGUGAAAGCCCUGGGCUUAACCCAGGAAGUGCAUUUGAAACUCACGAACUUGAGUCCCGGAGAGGAAGGCGGAAUUCUCGGUGUAGAGGUGAAAUUCGUAGAUAUCGAGAGGAACAUCGGUGGCGAAGGCGGCCUUCUGGACGGUGACUGACGCUGAGAUGCGAAAGCGUGGGGAGCAAACAGG